UAGUUGGAUUUGGGUCGACCGGGCCGCCGGGCCGCCGCCCCCGUGCGGCGAGUUCCCGUGCGUCCCCGGGACCGCACGUUCACCCCCGCGGUGCUCUUGACUGAGUGUCCGCGGUAGCGGGUGACCGAACGUUUACCUUGACAAAACCGGAGUGCUCGAGGCGUGGGCGUUCGCCGCCCGUACGUCCUCGCUGGGAAUAAUGGAAGAGGACCGUUGGUCAAAAAAGGUUUUUCGUCAGAGAGGUUGGAGAGCAAAAAGGAGGUUGUGCUGGCGGGGGGUUUACAAAGGGGGGAAACUCCCUUUCCCCCUCUGGUCUUCCUCCUUCUCCUCCUCGAAACCUUCCUCCCCGCGUACCGCACUGUGGAUCGGCUGGCGCUUUUCGGCGGAAAGGGCGGUUUGAGACAGAAGGGUGGAAGCAGGUGGCCGUUUGCCGGAUGGCGAAAGCUGGACGGCCGGUCGUUUGUGGAAACCUGGAAUCUUAUUCCCCCUCACUGUCGUGGUGCUUCCGUACCCUCGGUGUCAGCGGGAGGAGGUCGAAAAUCAAAAUAAAUAUGACGUGUCAUGAUUAAGAGGGACGGCCGGGGGCAUUCGUACCGCGGCGCGAGAGGUGAAAUUCUAGGACCGUCGCGAGACGAACGAUAGCGAAAGCAUUUGCCAAGAAUGUUUUCCUUAAUCAAGAACGAAAGUCGGAGGUUCGAAGGCGAUCAGAUACCGCCCUAGUUCCGACCUUAAACCAUGCCGUCCGACCGCCCGCCAGGGUUACUACCGCGACUCGGCGGGCGGUGACUUUCCACCGGGAAACCCUUAAGCUUUCGGGUUCCGGGGGAAGUACGGUCGCAAAGCUGAAACUUAAAGGAAUUGACGGAAGGGCACCACCAGGAGUGGAGCCUGCGGCUUAAUUUGACUCAACACGGGGAACCUCACCCGGCCCGGACACCGCGAGGAUUGACAGAUCGAUAGCUCUUUCUCGAUCCGGUGGGUGGUGGUGCAUGGCCGUUCUUAGUUGGUGGAGCGAUCUGUCUGGUUAAUUCCGAUAACGAACGAGACUCUAGCCGGUUAAGUAGCCCGAGUGGCGUGUUGUUGAUUUAAAAACCGCCCUAGCGGCAUUCGGGGUGCUUCGCGGAAGCUGUCUGGCUUUAACGGCGAUGGGACGGGGUGGUGGAAGACGACGGUUUUAGCCGCGUGCGUCGCGGCUGAGAUCUAGUUUUUUUAACUUCCCUUCAAUCCUGUCUCGUUUCGGCCUUUCACUUUUGUGGGCCUCUGUUUGCUUAGCUGGGGUAGAUAAAACGCUAACGAGAGUCGGGGGCAGUGGACGUUACUCGUGGAAUGGGUGGGCGCUCCUUAGUGGUGCGUCCCUCUUCCCGGUUUCGCUUUUCUGCUUUCCUCGUCGUCUCGCGCCACCGGCUUUCGAGUGCAAAAGCUUCUUAGAGGGACGAGCGGCGUUCAGCCGCGCGAGAUUGAGCGAUAACAGGUCUGUGAUGCCCUUAGAUGUCCGGGGCCGCACGCGCGCUACACUGAAGGGGUCAACGCGCCAUUACGUUUCCCGGGCCGAAAGGCUCGGGGAACCGGUGGAACCCCGACGUAGCGUUCGUGCUAGGGACAGGGACUUGCAAUUGUGUCCCUCGAACGAGGAAUUCCCAGUAGGCGCGAGUCAUCAGCUCGCGCCGAUUACGUCCCUGCCCUUUGUACACACCGCCCGUCGCUACUACCGAUCGAACGAUUUAGCGAGGUCUUCGGACCGGCGGCCGAAGGUGCGCGAGCGCCGGCGG
RNAcentral lists this ribosomal RNA (1769 nucleotides) under Peripatus solorzanoi. Its description in RNAcentral is "SSU rRNA". It matches the Rfam family "Eukaryotic small subunit ribosomal RNA", at positions 631 to 1743 of the family's 1831-position model. The record is from RNAcentral. Lineage: Eukaryota; Metazoa; Onychophora; Udeonychophora; Euonychophora; Peripatidae.